GAUGAACGCUGGCGGCGUGCCUAAUACAUGCAAGUCGAGCGAACGGACGAGAAGCUUGCUUCUCUGAUGUUAGCGGCGGACGGGUGAGUAACACGUGGAUAACCUACCUAUAAGACUGGGAUAACUUCGGGAAACCGGAGCUAAUACCUGCUGAUAUUUUGAACCUCAUGGUUCAAACGUGAAAGACGGUCUUGCUGUCACUUAUAGAUGGAUCCGCUCUGCAUUAGCUAGUUGGUAAGGUAACGGCUUACCAAUGCAACUUUGCAUAGCCGACCUGAGAGGAUGAUAGGACACACUGGAACUGAGACACGGUCCAGACUCCUAAGGGAGGAAGCAGUAGGGAAUCGUCCGCAAUGGGCGAAAGCCUGACGGAGCAACGCCGCGUGAGUGAUGAAGGUUUUCGGAUCGUAAAACUCUGUUAGUAGGGAAGAACAUAUGUGUAAGUAACUGUGCACAUCUUGACGGUACCUAAGCAGAAAGCCACGGCUAACUACGUG
Molecule: ribosomal RNA, 497 nt
Filed under: uncultured bacterium
Lineage: Bacteria
Description: partial 16S ribosomal RNA
Rfam family: Bacterial small subunit ribosomal RNA
Source: RNAcentral